UGUGGAGGGGGGGGGCGGGAAUUGCACAAAAUUGAAAAUGCUCAAAAUUGGAUCAUCUUCCAAUUUACUGUCCAUGGGAAAUUGGGUCCUGUUUUUGCACAAUAUUCCCAUUUAAAAUGGGGCUGCUUUUGAGCAGUUUCAUAGAAUUUUGGAAGCCUAAAAUUGUAAGGGAAUAAAAUUGCAGAAAUUUUCAUCUAAUUCUAGUUGAUGCCUUAUGAUCCAGAAUUCCAAAAUCUCUUUAUUUGUAGACAUUCCCAGUUCAAUAUAUGGUCCAGAGUUAUGGUUUUAUGUAAAAAAAAACAAAAACAACCACCUUAAUAGCUACUGCUCCUCCUGUAUCCUUUAACCAAAUGCUACUUUUGCCAGCCAUUGUUUUAUUAUUGAUCUUACUUCAUACACAUAAGCCUCCCUGGGUACUUUACAUAGAGUGUUUUUUCUAACUACCUAGUUUACAGGGAACUAGGUGGGAAUUACAAAUCAGAACAUUACAAAGCUUUAUAUAAUGAGGUUAAAUGGUGUGACAUUUUGCUUUCUGAUUUGUGUUUGUCUUGAAUAUCCAUGAUAUGACCAGAUGGUACAGCUAGAUUGCUUAAAACAGCAAAUUUAUGGGAUGUGCAGUUGUAACAAAGGAUGCAACUGUGUGUGUAUGUGUUAGAAACGGCUGUUAACCCUCAUGGUAGUUAAGUAUGUUCUCUGGGUGGACUGUUAGGCCUAGUAUACAGCAUGAUCUUGGGAAACCACUAACAAAUGUAACCAUAGGCCUGGUCUACACUUAAAAAUUAGAUUGACCUAGCUACAUUGCUCAAGACUGUGAACAGUUUCCCACCCUGAGUGCUUUUUUGCCUAACCUGCAGUAUAGAUGCAGCUAGGUCGAGAGACAAGUUCUUCUGGCAGCCUAACACCGCCUCUCAGGUGGCUUAACUACAUUGAUGGAAAAAUCCCUUCCGUCAAUGUAUGUAGUAUAGACAUACUCAUAGUCUUUGCUCUACAGGGUGACCAGUUUCUUUGCCUGCAGUAGAUUGGACCCUAAAAAUUCCAAGCAUAGAUCCCAAGUACAAAAUUGUUCAUCAGUUGCCAUUUGUGCUUGUAAAUGACACGCUUUUGGUUUUGUCCAUGAACGGUUUUGAAAAUGCAAAGCAUCCCAGAAGCUGUAGUGUGUAUUCUCAGCACAUGCAUAAUUUGACCGUUGUGUUUUUUUUGUAGACGUUCAAGCAGACUCCCUCUCCUUUAUAUGGAGAAGGUAGUCAGCCAUUUCUCAAUCUUCUGCCUCACUGAUUUGUCACCUGAAGUUACCAGAAAUUCUUUUGUUGUUCCUUUUUUGAAUAUAAUGUAAACGUGAAGGUCUGUGUAAUCUUUAGCAAGAAAAAAUAUGCUCCAAGUUUCCCUUUUCUCCUGUGUUCUGGUUUCUCUCCUGGGUACUGGAGUCAGGGGGAAUAUGCUUCUGGCUCCAGAAAUCUGCUUUUGGUUCAAUGGCAGAGUUUGUUGAGGAACUCAUAUCAAUUAGGUAAUUGGUUUGAUCAUUUCAAUAAACUUGUUUAAACUUUUGCUUACA
Gopherus agassizii (Agassiz's desert tortoise) is the source of this 1552-nucleotide long non-coding RNA. The record is from Ensembl. Lineage: Eukaryota; Metazoa; Chordata; Testudines; Testudinidae.